CAGCCGCAACAGCCCGCUGGCUCGCACGGGGUGCUCUUCAUCGAGUGUCCCGCGUGGCCGGCAGAGUUUACUUUGAAAAAAUUAGAGUGCUCAAAGCAGGCUACACUGACAGCCUGAAUGCCUAUGCAUGGAAUAAUGGAAUAGGACCUCGGUUCUAUUUUGUCGGUUUUCUGAACCCGAGGUAAUGACUAAUAGGAACAGGCGGGGGCAUUCGUAUUGCGACGCUAGAGGUGAAAUUCUUGGACCGUCGCAAGACGAACUACUGCGAAAGCAUUUGCCAAGGAUGUUUUCAUUAAUCAAGAACGAAAGUUAGAGGUUCGAAGGCGAUCAGAUACCGCCCUAGUUCUAACCAUAAACGAUGCUGACCAGCGAUCCGCCGGCGUUAUUCCCAUGACCCGGCGGGCAGCUUCCGGGAAACCAAAGUCUUUGGGUUCCGGGGGAAGUAUGGUUGCAAAGCUGAAACUUAAAGGAAUUGACGGAAGGGCACCACCAGGAGUGGAGCCUGCGGCUUAAUUUGACUCAACACGGGGAACCUCACCAGGCCCAGACACCGGAAGGAUUGACAGAUUGAGAGCUCUUUCUCNAUUCNGUGGGUGGUGGUGCAUGGCC
Molecule: ribosomal RNA, 609 nt
Filed under: Potamonautes sidneyi
Lineage: Eukaryota; Metazoa; Arthropoda; Malacostraca; Decapoda; Potamonautidae
Description: SSU rRNA
Rfam family: Eukaryotic small subunit ribosomal RNA
Source: RNAcentral